RNAcentral lists this long non-coding RNA (1706 nucleotides) under Equus caballus (horse). RNAcentral's name for it is "lncRNA (ENSECAG00000057973.1)". The record is from RNAcentral. Lineage: Eukaryota; Metazoa; Chordata; Mammalia; Perissodactyla; Equidae.
GUUUGUAGCACUUCUUUUGGGCCGAAGGGGAAGGCACGUCCUGCCUCCAGCCGCUCAGGGAGAGCGGAACGGAAGUGAGGGGUGGUGGUGAGGAGUCGGGGGAACUGACAGACCGGUGGACCCGACGUCGAGAGUUGAUGGCGUCGGUGACGGAAGGGGGCGUGUAACUACGUUGUGUAGGUGUUGUGGUUGAGAUGUGAAGAUUAGCCCUGAGCUAACAUCUCCUGCCAAUCCUCCUCUUUUUGCUGAGGAAGACUGGCCCUGAUCUAACAUCCAUGCCCAUCCUCCUCUACUUUAUGUGUGGAACGCCUACCACAGCAUGGCUUGACAAGCGGUGCCAUGUCUGCACCUGGGAUCCAAACUAGUGAACCCCAGGCUGCCGAAGUGGAACGUGCGAACUUAACCGCUGCGCCACCAGGCCGGACCCUGAAAAGCUUUUUAGCAAGUUGGAUGAUGGGGGAUGGGGACAUACUGUACGAGGGGGAAUUAGAGAGAGGGUAAAGUUAAGGAUGAUCUCCAAGUUUCUGCCUAGACAUCUGGAAGUAUGGUCAGUAUAGGCUAGAGAAUAUAAGAAAGAGAGCAAGUUUAAGGGAGAAGAUGAAUUCAGUUUUGGCCAUGUUUGAGAUACCUGUGGGACAGCCAGUCAGAUGAGAACAUGUGAGCCUGGAGGACUGGAGAGAGAUCUGGGAUGGGGAUGUAUAUUGAGGAAUCACCAGUAGAUAAGUGGUAGAUGAGGCCAUAGAUGCAGAUGAUAUAACCAGGUAGCAUGUGCAGAGUGAGAAGAGAACUGAUAACAAAGCCCAAUAGUUAAGGGGAGAGCAUAGGAAAUGAGUCACUUUAGGAGACUGAGAAACAGCCCUAAAAAUGAAAGGCAAACCAGGAAAGGUGGUAUACAGAAGCCAGGGGAAGAGAGUCACACAAAGGAGUUAGUGGUCAAUAGGGUCCAAUUCAGCAGAAAAAGCAAGCAAAGCAAGUACUGAAAAGCCUGUGUUGGCUUUAACAACUAGGAGGUCUGUACCUCAGAGAUUGCAAUUUCAGUGGAGUGGCACCAGAUUGCAGUGGUUUGAGGAGCGCAUGGUCAUGGUAGACUUUAACUUGUGGCUCCUAUUAACCAUUCCCAGUAAUCAUGACCCUGUGUAGUCCCCUGUUCUUGAAUCUUGUGGGCCAUAUAAGUAAGUUUAACUGACAGAAUGCAGGGAAAUAAUGCUGCUUAACUUCCAAGGGUAGGUCAUAAGAAGCCUUGCAACUUUUGCCAUGGUCUUUUGGAGCCCUGAGCAAAGAAGUCUAAUCAACCUCCUAGAGAGAGCACAUGGAGAGAUUCUGAGAUGACCUGGAGACAGAGAGCACCCAAGCUGUGCCCAGCGUUCCAGAUAUCCCCAUCAAGGUGCCAGGCAUGAAGGAAACCAUCUUGGACCCUCUAGAUCAACCUAGCCACCAGCUAGAUACCACUGAAUGACUCCAGUAGAUGCCACGUGGGACAGAAGAAUUGUCCAGGCAGCCUUGCCCAAAUUUCUCACCCACAUACUCAUGAGUAUAAUAAAAUUGCUGUUGUUUUCAGCACCAGGUUUUGGUGUGGUUUAUUACAUAGCAGUGUAUAGCUGGAACAUGGGCAUUGAAGUAAUGGAGACUGUAAAUGCAUGCUAUUCUUCCAAUAAGCUUGGAAAGGGAAAGAUCAGAUGGAAGCUGCAAGGUCUCAUAAGAUUGAG